Molecule: non-coding RNA, 113 nt
Organism: Halorubrum sp. AJ67
Lineage: Archaea; Methanobacteriati; Methanobacteriota; Halobacteria; Halobacteriales; Haloferacaceae
Source: Rfam
AGUCCCGUGGUGUAGUGGCCAAUCAUAAUGGCCUUUGGAGGGAGUUCGACCGCGCCACGCGGUCGGAUGCCCGAAGUCAGCCAUUGACGGCGGUUCGAAUCCGCCCGGGACUA